UGUCAAAUCAUCAUGCCCCUUAUGUCUUGGGCUACACACGUGCUACAAUGGGUUAUACAGAGUGAGGCGAGGCCGCGAGGCGGAGCGGAUCACGAAAGUAACCCCCAGUUCGGAUUGCAGGCUGCAACCCGCCUGCAUGAAGUUGGAAUCGCUAGUAAUCGCGGAUCAGCAUGCCCGCGGUCGAAUACGUUCCGGGCCUU
This 200-nucleotide ribosomal RNA is filed under the name uncultured prokaryote. RNAcentral's name for it is "partial 16S ribosomal RNA". It matches the Rfam family "Bacterial small subunit ribosomal RNA", at positions 1183 to 1382 of the family's 1533-position model. The record is from RNAcentral.